UGGGAAUUUUGGACAAUGGGCGAAAGCCUGAUCCAGCAAUGCCGCGUGUGUGAAGAAGGCCUUCGGGUUGUAAAGCACUUUUGUCCGGAAAGAAAUCCUUGGCUCUAAUACAGUCGGGGGAUGACGGUACCGGAAGAAUAAGCACCGGCUAACUACGUGCCAGCAGCCGCGGUAAUACGUAGGGUGCAAGCGUUAAUCGGAAUUACUGGGCGUAAAGCGUGCGCAGGCGGUUUGCUAAGACCGAUGUGAAAUCCCCGGGCUCAACCUGGGAACUGCAUUGGUGACUGGCAGGCUAGAGUAUGGCAGAGGGGGGUAGAAUUCCACGUGUAGCAGUGAAAUGCGUAGAGAUGUGGAGGAAUACCGAUGGCGAAGGCAGCCCCCUGGGCCAAUACUGACGCUCAUGCACGAAAAGCGUGGGGAGCAAAACAGGAUUAGAUACCCUGGUAGUCCACGCCCUAAAACGAUGUCAACUAGUUGUUGGGGAUUCAUUUCCUUAGUAACGUAGCAACGCGUGAAGUUGACCGCCUGGGGAGUACGGUCGCAAGAUUAAAACUU
This 555-nucleotide ribosomal RNA is filed under the name uncultured bacterium. Its description in RNAcentral is "partial 16S ribosomal RNA". It matches the Rfam family "Bacterial small subunit ribosomal RNA", at positions 356 to 902 of the family's 1533-position model. The record is from RNAcentral.